AUGAAGCUGGAAUUGCUAGUAAUCACAGGUCAGCAUACUGUGGUGAAUACGUUCCCGGGCCUUGUACACACCGCCCGUCACACCAUGAGAGUUGAGAAUACCCGAAGUCCAUGUCAAAGUGGCCGAAGGUAGGCUUGAUGAUUGGGGUGAAGUCGUAACAAGGUACC
This 167-nucleotide ribosomal RNA is filed under the name uncultured bacterium. RNAcentral describes it as "partial 16S ribosomal RNA". It matches the Rfam family "Bacterial small subunit ribosomal RNA", at positions 1320 to 1500 of the family's 1533-position model. The record is from RNAcentral.